UGGGGAAUCUUGCGCAAUGCGCGAAAGCGUGACGCAGCAACGCCGCGUGGGGGAAGAAGGCCUUCGGGUUGUAAACCCCUUUCAGGAGGGACGAAGGUCGGGCGGUGAACAGCCGACCCGACUGACGGUACCUCCAGAAGAAGCCCCGGCUAACUACGUGCCAGCAGCCGCGGUAAUACGUAGGGGGCAAGCGUUGUCCGGAAUUAUUGGGCGUAAAGAGCGUGUAGGCGGUCCGGUAAGUCGGCUGUGAAAGUCCAGGGCUCAACCCUGGGAUGCCGGUCGAUACUGCCGGACUAGAGUUCGGAAGAGGCGAGUGGAAUUCCCGGUGUAGCGGUGAAAUGCGCAGAUAUCGGGAGGAACACCUAUGGCGAAGGCAGCUCGCUGGGACGUUACUGACGCU
RNAcentral lists this ribosomal RNA (400 nucleotides) under uncultured bacterium. RNAcentral's name for it is "bacterial SSU rRNA". It matches the Rfam family "Bacterial small subunit ribosomal RNA", at positions 355 to 747 of the family's 1533-position model. The record is from RNAcentral.